GAAUUUCUCCGCGUUACAAUACGAUACCCACCCUGAUGUUUACUUGUUCUAAAAAAAGACUCGCUGUAUAUUUCGCCACUUUAUGUGUGCCUGUAUUCAACAGGACAGUCUUGAGAGAUACGUGUUGACUGUACCGUUAGGCUUCGCGUACAAGGACGCCAGGCAGCGCUUACCUGUUGGAGAGUGAAGAGUAUUAUACCGUCCCCUCAACCGUCGUCACUGACAUUCUACUAUCAUGGAAGCAACAUGGCGACAUGGAUUAUAUCUGGUUCUUCAUGGGGUUUUAUUGUGUUCAACCACUGUUCACUCAGAAACAACAACAACAAGUCCUGAUGUUUGCGGCCCCCUGCAGUUAACGGCUGGAUCACAACCUAGAUACCUAACAUCACCUGGCUACCCCGUCUCUAUAGAGAAAAACCCCAGAUGCAAAAUGGACAUCAAAAGCGCCAAAAUGAGG
Long non-coding RNA from Haliotis rubra (blacklip abalone), 457 nucleotides. RefSeq lists it as uncharacterized. The record is from RefSeq and is a predicted model, not a curated record. NCBI's taxonomy places the organism in Eukaryota, Metazoa, Mollusca, Gastropoda, Lepetellida, Haliotidae. The transcript is spliced from 3 exons.